GUUGAGCGGGCUGUGAGGGUUGUGAGGGCUGUGCGGGCUGUGAGGCCGCGGUGGCAGCACCGCGCUCCAGCAGCGGGUGCGUCCCGGCCGUGCCGCGAGGGGCUGGGUCGCUGUCCCCGCUGCCAGCAGGGCUGCUGCGCAUCUCCCUCCAACCAUCUCCCUCUGCCCCCAUUUCCCAGUAGCCGGUGUUUCUCCCAGUGUUUAGCCUGGCUGCUCAUCAUCUCCCAUCUCCACCGAUUCAUCUUGAUCUUUCAGUUUAGUAUGCAGCGCUCGGAAAACAAACACGUACCAGACUGACAGUGGGAAUAAAUAUCGUGGAGAUGUUGAUUAGCAUUUGAUCCCAGCUGGGCCUCUGGAAGCUGCAGCACUGGAAUGCCUUGGCAGUUUUUUAAUGCUGAAUAAUUUGAUUAGAUCAGUGGCUGAGCCUGCUGCUCGCGCACAGUUGUUGACUCGCAUGGAUGAUAAGGUUCUGGAGACCCCACAGAUUGCUGCCUGCUCUAACAGUGCCGUUCUCCACGGCCUCUUGGCUUUGCUGCCGAGCCCAGCCUGGCCCAGCCCGCGGCUGCCGGAGGGGCUGCUCCCUGAGCCGGGCUGUCACUCAGCCACGGGGGCAUCUCCAGCCUCUCCGCUGUGUGAUCACCAACGGGGACAUGUCCCCUCCACAGGGUGACACGAGAACAACCAAUGGAGGAUAAUCAGUUCAGAGGGUGGCCAGCGAGAGUGGAGUGAACAGCCCUGACUCUUCCACUGCCGGUUUUCCCAAAACACCCCGCUGAUGGCUAUUUCCAAAGUGUAUCUUAAGUAUCUUCUUAUCAGCAGAAUGCCAUUUAAAAGCAGCUGAGCUUCCCCUGAACCACCGAGGCUCCACUGUUCCACUUCUCGCCCUACAUCAAAACCGGGAAAAUACUGAAUUACAAACCCAGCCUUUUCUAUCAGAAAAGAAUUAUUUUAUCUGCAAAAGCAAAACUGUGUAUUUUCAGCCACUGACCCAGUCCCGGGUAAAUAAACAGGCAGAGACUC
Molecule: long non-coding RNA, 1020 nt
Organism: Vidua chalybeata
Lineage: Eukaryota; Metazoa; Chordata; Aves; Passeriformes; Viduidae
Exons: 3
Source: RefSeq, a predicted model, not a curated record